GUGAGCCUUGCCUUCAACAGAACCUCCCAUUUUUCACUUUUCAACCUCUGCUGGGCUCCAGGGACCUGGUAGGCACGGCUGUGGCCAGGUCACCGGGAAGCCCUGCGCUGGGAGGGGCCAUUGAGGAUCCAGUGUUCCACCUCCGGGUGUACACCCGAAGAAGUGAAAGCUGGAACGCCAAAAGAUUGCACGUCCAUGUCCACGCAGCACUGUCCACAGCAGCAAAAGGUGGAAACAACCCACGUGUCCUUAGAUGAGUAGAUAAACAAACCAAGGUGCGUCUUUCGGUACAAUGGAAUAUUACUCAGCCUUGUAAAGGCAAGUGACACAUGCUACAACAUGGAGGAACUUUGAGGACAUUAUUCUAAGUGGUAGAAGCCAAUCACAAAAGGACAAAUGCUGUAUGACUCCAUGAAUCUUGAGGUGUGCCUGGCACAGUCAGAUUCAUAAAGACAAAGUAGAUUAGAGGCUGCCAGGAACUGGGGGGAAGGAAUGACUUAGUUUCUAAUAGGGACAGAGUUUCUGCUUAGAAUGCUUAACAAGUUCUGGAUAUGGUGCGGAUGGUUGCACAUUUUAUGUUAUAUAUGUUUUAUGACAAUUAAGAAAUGACCUGUAAGCCUGCCAUCUGGAUAACUCCAGUAAACACAUCUUAAUUUAUGUGAACUAUGGUGUGUAUUUGUAAUAUAUAUGUGUUACCUAAAGUUACACAUGUUUAAAAAAUUCAGGCCAGGUGCAGUGGCUCACAUCUGUAAUCCCAGCACUUUGGGAGGUUGAGGUGGGCAGAUCAUUUGAGCUCAGGAGUUCAAGGUCACCCUGGGCAACAUAGACCCCAUGUCUACAAAAAAAUUUUUAAAUUAGCUGGGCAUGGUGGUGUGUCCCUAUGGUCCCAGCUUCAAUGCACACGGGAGCUACUCAGGAGGCUGAGGUGGGAGGAUUGCUUGAGCCCAGAAGGUGGAGGUUGCAAUGAGCUGUGGUUGCAUCACUGUACUCCAGCCUGGGUAACACAGUGACACCCUCUCAAAAAAAAAAAAAAAAAAUUAAACCAUGGAAGGCAUAAAAUUAGAAAUACAUCUACUUCCCAAUCCACUGAAUUUAUUGUCUCUCCCCAAAAUAAGUUUCUGGUUCUACUUUUGUAAAAAUAGUUUUGUGCUUUUCCUUAACUAUAUAUAUUAUAAAAAAUAUUCUGCCAGGCACGGUGGCUCAUGCCUGUAAUCCCAG
Molecule: long non-coding RNA, 1218 nt
Filed under: Homo sapiens (human)
Lineage: Eukaryota; Metazoa; Chordata; Mammalia; Primates; Hominidae
Description: HSALNT0194815
Source: RNAcentral